GGUGCUAUGGCCGAGUGGUUAGGCAAUGGUCUGCAAAACCAUGCACAGCAGUUCGAUUCUGCUUGGCACCUCCA
RNAcentral lists this transfer RNA (74 nucleotides) under Candidatus Cryptobacteroides excrementavium. RNAcentral describes it as "tRNA-Cys". It matches the Rfam family "tRNA". From Rfam's summary of the family: Transfer RNA (tRNA) molecules are approximately 80 nucleotides in length. Their secondary structure includes four short double-helical elements and three loops (D, anti-codon, and T loops). Lineage: Bacteria; Pseudomonadati; Bacteroidota; Bacteroidia; Bacteroidales. The record is from RNAcentral.